AUUGAACGCUGGCGGCAUGCUUGAAAAAGGAAAGUAGAAAGGAAGCGCGGGCUUCGGCCUGGCGGCGAGUGGCGAACGGGUGAGUAAUGCAUCGGAACGUGCCCAGUAGUGGGGGAUAGCCCGGCGAAAGCCGGAUUAAUACCGCAUACGACCUGAGGGUGAAAGCGGGGGACCGAAAGGCCUCGCGCUAUUGGAGCGGCCGAUGUCGGAUUAGCUAGUUGGUGGGGUAAAGGCUUACCAAGGCGACGAUCCGUAGCUGGUCUGAGAGGACGACCAGCCACACUGGGACUGAGACACGGCCCAGACUCCUACGGGAGGCAGCAGUGGGGAAUUUUGGACAAUGGGGGCAACCCUGAUCCAGCCAUGCCGCGUGCGGGAAGAAGGCCUUCGGGUUGUAAACCGCUUUUGUUCGGGAAGAAAUCCUCUGGGCUAAUACCCCGGGGGGAUGACGGUACCGGAAGAAUAAGCACCGGCUAACUACGUG
This 484-nucleotide ribosomal RNA is filed under the name uncultured bacterium. RNAcentral's name for it is "partial 16S ribosomal RNA". It matches the Rfam family "Bacterial small subunit ribosomal RNA", at positions 29 to 507 of the family's 1533-position model. The record is from RNAcentral.